Molecule: ribosomal RNA, 222 nt
Filed under: uncultured bacterium
Lineage: Bacteria
Description: partial 16S ribosomal RNA
Rfam family: Bacterial small subunit ribosomal RNA
Source: RNAcentral
UACAGAGGGGGCAAGCGUUGUUCGGAAUUACUGGGCGUAAAGGGCGCGUAGGCGGCCUUCUAAGUCGAACGUGAAAUCCCCGGGCUCAACCCGGGAACUGCGUCCGAUACUGGAAGGCUUGAAUCCGGGAGAGGGAUGUGGAAUUCCAGGUGUAGCGGUGAAAUGCGUAGAUAUCUGGAGGAACACCGGUGGCGAAGGCGACAUCCUGGACCGGUAUUGACG